RNAcentral lists this ribosomal RNA (400 nucleotides) under uncultured eukaryote. RNAcentral describes it as "SSU rRNA". It matches the Rfam family "Eukaryotic small subunit ribosomal RNA", at positions 130 to 544 of the family's 1831-position model. The record is from RNAcentral.
GAAAGUUACAUGGAUAACCGUGGCAAUUCUACAGCUAAUACAUGCUUCAAAACCUGACUUCGGAAGGGUUGUAUUUAUUAGAUAUUAAACCACUCCCCUCGGGGGCUGUGAUGAAUCAUAAUAACUGAUCGAAUCGAGGUUCGCCUUGAUAAAUCAUUCAAGUUUCUGCCCUAUCAGCUGUAGAUGGUAGUGUAUUGGACUACCAUGGCUAUUACGGGUAACGGAGAAUUAGGGGUUCGAUUCCGGAGAGGGAGCCUGAGAAACGGCUACCACAUCUACGGAUGGCAGCAGGCGCGAAAAUUGCCCAAUCCCGAUUCGGGGAGGCAGUGACAAGAAAUAACAACCCAGAACAUUGUUUCCGGGAUUGCAAUGAGAACAAUUUAAAAACCUUAUCGAGUAC